This 414-nucleotide ribosomal RNA is filed under the name uncultured microorganism. RNAcentral describes it as "bacterial SSU rRNA". It matches the Rfam family "Archaeal small subunit ribosomal RNA", at positions 459 to 872 of the family's 1478-position model. The record is from RNAcentral.
CAGCCGCCGCGGUAAUACCGGCGGCCCGAGUGGCGGUCACUCUUAUUGGGCUUAAAGCGUCCGUAGCCGGGUUGGGAAAUCCUCCGGGAAAUCUGGCCGCUUAACGGUCAGAAUGCCGGAGGAUACUCCCAGCCUAGGGAGCGGGAGAGGCCGAGGGGAUUCCCGGAGUAGGGGGGAAAUCCUAUAAUCCCGGGAGGACCACCUGUGGCGAAGGCGCUCGGCUGGAACGCGUCCGACGGUGAGGGACGAAGGCCAGGGGAGCAAACCGGAUUAGAUACCCGGGUAGUCCUGGCUGUAAACGAUGCGGACUUUGUGUCGGACAAGCUAUGAGCUUGUCCGGUGCCGGAGGGAAACCGUUAAGUCCGCCGCCUGGGGAGUACGGCCGCAAGGCUGAAACUUAAAGGAAUUGGCGGG